RNAcentral lists this long non-coding RNA (379 nucleotides) under Manacus vitellinus (golden-collared manakin). Its description in RNAcentral is "lncRNA (ENSMVIG00005011638.1)". Lineage: Eukaryota; Metazoa; Chordata; Aves; Passeriformes; Pipridae. The record is from RNAcentral.
UUACAGGAAGUUUUACCAGCCUGCAAAUACAGCGACAUAGGAGGGUCAAAGUAGUCCCCCAGCCCUGGUCUCUGAACAGCUGGGAGGUGGUGAUGGAAGGAGGUGCUCAGAGAAGACACAAGCAGGAACAGUCUUUACUGUCACAUUGCAGGGCAAAGGAAGCAGCGGAAAUGUCUGAGCCUUAAUUUGAGGUCUCUGAGAAAUCUGGAAAGGAGAGGGAUCUGUGCUGACACGCAUCACGAGGGUGGAUGCAGCUCAGGAGGAGCCAAACAGCUUCGGUGCACCACGGGGAAGGAUCUGGGCUUCUUGAGACCUUGUUCAAACUGAACCUUUAAGCAGGAUGAUUGCCCAUCAAUAAAGAAGAGACCAGAGAGAACCA